GGUGUGGCAUGGCUGUCUCAGCUCGUGUCGUGAGAAGUUGGGUAAAAUCCCGUAACGAGCGCAACCCUUUUCCUUUUUUUCCAACCGGUUAAGGUGGGCACUCUAAGGAGACUGCCGGUGAAAACCGGAGGAAGGUGGGGAUGACGUCAAGUCAUCAUGCCCCUUACGGCCAGGGCUAAACCCGUGCUACAAUGGUUGGUACAAAGGGUCGCAAACCCGCGAGGUGGAGCUAAUCGCACAAAACCAAUCGUAGUCCGGAUCGCAGUCUGCAACUCGG
This 277-nucleotide ribosomal RNA is filed under the name uncultured bacterium. RNAcentral's name for it is "partial 16S ribosomal RNA". It matches the Rfam family "Bacterial small subunit ribosomal RNA", at positions 1037 to 1315 of the family's 1533-position model. The record is from RNAcentral.